Molecule: ribosomal RNA, 388 nt
Filed under: uncultured bacterium
Lineage: Bacteria
Description: bacterial SSU rRNA
Rfam family: Bacterial small subunit ribosomal RNA
Source: RNAcentral
GACGAACGCUGGCGGCGUGCUUAACACACGCAAGUCGAGCGGUAAGGCCCUUUCGGGGGUACGACGAGCGGCGAACGGGUGAGUAACACGUGGGUGACCUGCCCUCAGCUCUGGGAGUAAGCCUGGGAAACCGGGUACUAAUACCGGAUAUGACUCCAUGACGCAUGUUGUGGGGUGGAAAGCCUUGUGCGGCUGAGGAUGGGCCCGCGGCCUAUCAGCUUGUUGGUGGGGUGANGGCCUACCAAGGCGACGACGGGUAGCCGGCCUGAGAGGGCGACCGGCCACACUGGGACUGAGACACGGCCCAGACUCCUACGGGAGGCAGCAGUGGGGAAUCUUGCGCAAUGGGCGAAAGCCUGACGCAGCGACGCCGCGUGAGGGAUGACGG